Long non-coding RNA from Fukomys damarensis (Damara mole-rat), 421 nucleotides. RefSeq lists it as uncharacterized. Lineage: Eukaryota; Metazoa; Chordata; Mammalia; Rodentia; Bathyergidae. The record is from RefSeq and is a predicted model, not a curated record. The transcript is spliced from 3 exons.
CCUGGUAGCAUAGCCCUAUAGUUCUAGUUGUCUGGGACACUGAGGCAGGAGAAUCAUAAGUCUGAGCAUAGCCUGGGCAACUUAGUGACUUAGCAAGAUCCUAUGUCAAAAAAUAAAAAGGGACUAGAGACAACAGCUCAGUAAAAAGACCCUGGAUUCUGGGCACCAGUAUCACACACACCAAAAGAGUCAAGAAGGAGGGGUACCAAGGACUGAACCCAGGACUUUGAGCUUGCCAGGCAGGCACGGUCCCACUGAGCUAAAUCUCCAGCCCAAGAAGUAUUUGUUUUACUCAUGGACUGAACAAAUAACGUGCAGGUGUUGGAUCUCAGGGAGAAAGACAUUCUGGAGGAGGGUAAUCAGGAUCAGUUAGUUGAAGGCAGUCAACUACUUUCAGUUGACAAAUUAGGUCCCCCCCCCC